GUCCACGCCGUAAACGAUGGACACUAGGCGUCGGGGGGAGCGACCCUCCCGGUGCCGUCGCUAACGCAGUAAGUGUCCCGCCUGGGGAGUACGGCCGCAAGGCUGAAACUCAAAAGGAAUUGACGGGGGCCCGCACAAGCGGUGGAGCAUGUGGUUUAAUUCGAAGCAACGCGAAGAACCUUACCUGGGCUUGACAUGCUGGUGAAAGCCGGUGGAAACAUCGGUCCCUCUUCGGAGCGCCAGCACAGGUGCUGCAUGGCUGUCGU
This 266-nucleotide ribosomal RNA is filed under the name uncultured bacterium. RNAcentral's name for it is "partial 16S ribosomal RNA". It matches the Rfam family "Bacterial small subunit ribosomal RNA", at positions 793 to 1055 of the family's 1533-position model. The record is from RNAcentral.